UGCGGGGGUCUGAUCUGUCUUCUCUCCCUACCAAUUGCAAUGCUAUAUGGCUCUUGCUGCUGUUGCUCAGGUGCAUCCUCUACUUGAUCAGGAUCCUGCAUCUCAUCCUUUGGAUCACUGGACUGAACUAUCAAAGUAUCAAUGUCAAGCUUCACCUGUUCUCUGACACUGUGAUCUGAUUCUGCUAUUGACUUCUCCUUCUGACUAUCUAAUAAAGU
This 218-nucleotide long non-coding RNA is filed under the name Elaeis guineensis (African oil palm). RNAcentral's name for it is "long non-coding RNA (EGUI_LNC037052)". The record is from RNAcentral. Lineage: Eukaryota; Viridiplantae; Streptophyta; Magnoliopsida; Arecales; Arecaceae.